This is a long non-coding RNA of Fukomys damarensis (Damara mole-rat), 292 nucleotides long. RefSeq lists it as uncharacterized. NCBI's taxonomy places the organism in Eukaryota, Metazoa, Chordata, Mammalia, Rodentia, Bathyergidae. The transcript is spliced from 3 exons. The record is from RefSeq and is a predicted model, not a curated record.
AUGAUUAAAAUGAAGGAAAUAAAGAAGCCUAGAAUUCCUAGGAUUGUUGAAAGAGAAGCAACAGAUACUUGGACAAGAUUGCAGACCCAGGAAUGUUGAAAGAAAAGGUCACAUAUCACAAACGAGAUGCUCCUAGGAUUCUAAGUGCACCAGGCACUGCAUCAUAAAGAGCAGCACUGCUUUGAAAAGCUCACGAAAAGUGACAGAUUUAUUUACUAAACAGUGUUCCAAAUGACCAUGCAAGAAUAAGUGAGAUUAGGCUCACAGCCAAGUUCCCAAUGUCAGGACUCAG